CCUACGGGUGGCUGCAGUGGGGAAUCUUGCGCAAUGGGCGAAAGCCUGACGCAGCCAUGCCGCGUGAAUGAUGAAGGUCUUAGGAUUGUAAAAUUCUUUCACCGGGGACGAUAAUGACGGUACCCGGAGAAGAAGCCCCGGCUAACUUCGUGCCAGCAGCCGCGGUAAUACGAAGGGGGCUAGCGUUGCUCGGAAUUACUGGGCGUAAAGGGAGCGUAGGCGGACUGUUAAGUUAGAGGUGAAAGCCCAGGGCUCAACCUUGGAAUUGCCUUUGAUACUGGCAGUCUUGAGUACGGAAGAGGUAUGUGGAACUCCGAGUGUAGAGGUGAAAUUCGUAGAUAUUCGGAAGAACACCAGUGGCGAAGGCGACAUACUGGUCCGUUACUGACGCUGAGGCUCGAAAGCGUGGGGAGCAAACAGGAUUAGAUACCCUGGUAGUC
Molecule: ribosomal RNA, 440 nt
Filed under: uncultured Caulobacter sp.
Lineage: Bacteria; Pseudomonadati; Pseudomonadota; Alphaproteobacteria; Caulobacterales; Caulobacteraceae
Description: bacterial SSU rRNA
Rfam family: Bacterial small subunit ribosomal RNA
Source: RNAcentral